GACGAACGCUGGCGGCGUGCUUAACACAUGCAAGUCGAACGGAAAGGCCCUGCUUUUGUGGGGUGCUCGAGUGGCGAACGGGUGAGUAACACGUGAGUAACCUGCCCUUGACUUUGGGAUAACUUCAGGAAACUGGGGCUAAUACCGGAUAGGAGCUCCUGCUGCAUGGUGGGGGUUGGAAAGUUUCGGCGGUUGGGGAUGGACUCGCGGCUUAUCAGCUUGUUGGUGGGGUAGUGGCUUACCAAGGCUUUGACGGGUAGCCGGCCUGAGAGGGUGACCGGCCACAUUGGGACUGAGAAACGGCCCAGACUCCUACGGGAGGCAGCAGUGGGGAAUAUUGCACAAUGGGCGGAAGCCUGAUGCAGCAACGCCGCGUGCGGGAUGACGGCCUUCGGGUUGUAAACCGCUUUCGCCUGUGACGAAGCGUGAGGGACGGGAAUGGGGAAAGAAGCACCGGCUAACUACGU
Molecule: ribosomal RNA, 467 nt
Filed under: uncultured bacterium
Lineage: Bacteria
Description: partial 16S ribosomal RNA
Rfam family: Bacterial small subunit ribosomal RNA
Source: RNAcentral